CCUUCGAUAGCUCAGUUGGUAGAGCGGAGGACUGUAGUGGAUUACUCAUAGAGAUCCUUAGGUCGCUGGUUCGAAUCCGGCUCGAAGGA
This is a non-coding RNA of Ameiurus melas (black bullhead), 89 nucleotides long. The record is from the annotation of a GenBank genome assembly. NCBI's taxonomy places the organism in Eukaryota, Metazoa, Chordata, Actinopteri, Siluriformes, Ictaluridae.